UCUGACGUGGUGUAGCGGUGACACGGCCUCCCCACGUAAACAAAAAUGGUGAAAGGUCAGGAGGCAGUCCCGGGUUCGAAGCCCGGCGUCUGAG
Molecule: non-coding RNA, 94 nt
Organism: Mycena latifolia
Lineage: Eukaryota; Fungi; Basidiomycota; Agaricomycetes; Agaricales; Mycenaceae
Source: the annotation of a GenBank genome assembly